This 85-nucleotide transfer RNA is filed under the name Bacillota bacterium. Its description in RNAcentral is "tRNA-Leu". It matches the Rfam family "tRNA". Rfam says of the family: Transfer RNA (tRNA) molecules are approximately 80 nucleotides in length. Their secondary structure includes four short double-helical elements and three loops (D, anti-codon, and T loops). Further hydrogen bonds mediate the characteristic L-shaped molecular structure. tRNAs have two regions of fundamental functional importance: the anti-codon, which is responsible for specific mRNA codon recognition, and the 3' end, to which the tRNAs corresponding amino acid is attached (by aminoacyl-tRNA synthetases). tRNAs cope with the degeneracy of the genetic code in two manners: having more than one tRNA (with a specific anti-codon) for a particular amino acid; and 'wobble' base-pairing, i.e. permitting non-standard base-pairing at the 3rd anti-codon position. Lineage: Bacteria; Bacillati; Bacillota. The record is from RNAcentral.
GCCCGGGUGGCGGAAUUGGUAGACGCGCUAGAUUCAGGAUCUAGUGGGCAGCUCGCCUGUAGGGGUUCGAAUCCCCUCCCGGGCA